CCGCGUCCCCGCGAGACCCAGCCGCAACGCAACCCAACCCAACCCAACCCCGCCCUCGCGGCCUCGCCUCGUCGUCUUCCUCGCCUCGCCUCGCUGCCCCUAGCCUAGGCGUGCGCUACCAGCCAGCACAGGUGGUGAUCUCAUCAUCCCCCGCCCGCCCGCGCGCGCGUUCGCGCUCCCCCGCCCCCACCACCCCAGAUCCCGAGGCCCCGCUCCGCCGCCCGCGGGAUCGCGGGCCCCGACACAAGAUUUUGCUUAAUGCUACUUUAUGCGUGUGUGGAUAAUGGAGUAAUCACUGCUCUGUGUAUCUGAGCUCACACCAUGGGUAGCAGUGGCGCAGACGCACCGACUAAGACAAGCAAGGCAUCUGCACCUCAGGAGCAACAGCCACCUGCUAGUUCAAGCACUGCAACACCGGCUGUUUACCCAGAUUGGGCCAACUUUCAGCAGGGAUAUCCUCCAAUUCCACCACAUGGCUUCUUUCCAUCACCUGUGGCGUCAAGCCCACAGGGUCAUCCUUACAUGUGGGGAGCUCAGCCUAUGAUACCACCAUAUGGAACCCCACCACCACCAUAUGUCAUGUAUCCUCCAGGAGUAUAUGCUCACCCAUCUAUGCCUCCGGGCGCACACCCAUUUACUCCAUAUGCCAUGGCCUCUCCAAAUGGCAAUGCUGAUCCUACUGGAACUACAACUACUGCUGCUGCUGCUGCUGCUGGUGAGACGGAUGGCAAAUCCUCUGAAGGAAAAGAAAAAAGUCCCAUUAAAAGAUCUAAAGGAAGUUUAGGUAGCUUGAAUAUGAUUACAGGGAAGAACUCUACUGAACAUGGUAAAACCUCUGGGGCAUCAGCUAAUGGAGCCAUUUCUCAAAGUGGGGAAAGUGGAAGUGAAAGUUCUAGUGAAGGAAGUGAAGCAAAUUCUCAGAAUGAUUCACAUCACAAGGAAAGUGGACAAGAGCAAGAUGGAGAGGUUCGAAGUUCCCAGAAUGGUGUAUCACGUUCACCAUCCCAGGCAAAGUUGAAUCAAACUAUGGCAAUCAUGCCAAUGACAUCAAGUGGUCCAGUACCUGCUCCAACUACAAACUUGAACAUAGGAAUGGACUACUGGGCCAACACAGCUAGCUCCACUCCAGCAAUACAUGGUAAAGCAACCCCAACUGCAGCUCCAGGGUCUAUGGUUCCAGGAGAGCAGUGGGUGCAGGAUGAACGGGAACUCAAAAGGCAGAGAAGAAAACAAUCCAACAGGGAGUCUGCUCGCAGAUCUAGGUUGCGUAAGCAGGCUGAAUGUGAGGAGUUGGCUCAACGUGCUGAAGUUUUAAAGCAAGAAAAUACUUCACUUAGAGAUGAAGUGAACCGGAUCAGAAAGGAGUAUGAUGAGCUUCUAUCAAAGAAUAGCUCAUUAAAGGAAAAACUUGAGGACAAACAACACAAAACUGAUGAGGCAGGAGUUGACAAUAAGCUGCAACAUUCUGGUGAUGACAGCCAGAAAAAAGGAAACUAAUUGAGCUAUCGUGCAAUGCUCCUGAGCAUAACCCUAACUAGAUUAUUGGCAGGCGCAACUGUAGAAGACAGUUCUGGGGUUAAAUUUCUCAUACAAGAGCUGUGCAUAGAGCCAUACACCAUAGGUAUGGAUGUUCCACAGUUUAAUUUGGGCUGGCCAACACAUUGAUCUUCAGCAAAUGCAUGGGAAGCUGCUGAAGGCUGGCAAAUUUGGGUUGAUGCUGCUCCAGGUUGCAGGGAUGGACUUGUGGCAGAACUCAUGUUGGGAGAGGUUAGCGAAGACGUCUCCAAGGACCGGUUUGCCCCUGAAGCUGGUCCAGGUGCUGCAGUUGCUGGAGCAAGGUGGCCAGGGCAAGCUGACCCUUUUCCUCUUGGUACUAUUGGCCUUAUAACUCCAUUGAUUCCAUGGCACCUGAACAAAUCUCCUACGCGGCAGACGUCAGGACUGAUGAGCUCAAUAUUGUUGAAGUAGAUCUUCUGGUGCUUCACAUUGGUUAUUGUGAUUGUCUGGCU
Non-coding RNA from Oryza sativa Japonica Group (Japanese rice), 2009 nucleotides. Lineage: Eukaryota; Viridiplantae; Streptophyta; Magnoliopsida; Poales; Poaceae. The record is from RefSeq and is a predicted model, not a curated record.